RNAcentral lists this ribosomal RNA (543 nucleotides) under Vibrio sp. ini6. RNAcentral's name for it is "bacterial SSU rRNA". It matches the Rfam family "Bacterial small subunit ribosomal RNA", at positions 58 to 596 of the family's 1533-position model. The record is from RNAcentral. Lineage: Bacteria; Pseudomonadati; Pseudomonadota; Gammaproteobacteria; Vibrionales; Vibrionaceae.
CGAGUUAUCUGAACCUUCGGGGAACGAUAACGGCGUCGAGGGCGGACGGGUGAGUAAUGCCUAGGAAAUUGCCCUGAUGUGGGGGAUAACCAUUGGAAACGAUGGCUAAUACCGCAUAAUGCCUACGGGCCAAAGAGGGGGACCUUCGGGCCUCUCGCGUCAGGAUAUGCCUAGGUGGGAUUAGCUAGUUGGUGAGGUAAUGGCUCACCAAGGCGACGAUCCCUAGCUGGUCUGAGAGGAUGAUCAGCCACACUGGAACUGAGACACGGUCCAGACUCCUACGGGAGGCAGCAGUGGGGAAUAUUGCACAAUGGGCGCAAGCCUGAUGCAGCCAUGCCGCGUGUGUGAAGAAGGCCUUCGGGUUGUAAAGCACUUUCAGUCGUGAGGAAGGUAGUGUAGUUAAUAGCUGCAUUAUUUGACGUUAGCGACAGAAGAAGCACCGGCUAACUCCGUGCCAGCAGCCGCGGUAAUACGGAGGGUGCGAGCGUUAAUCGGAAUUACUGGGCGUAAAGCGCAUGCAGGUGGUUUGUUAAGUCAGAUGUG